Molecule: transfer RNA, 73 nt
Filed under: Cordylochernes scorpioides
Lineage: Eukaryota; Metazoa; Arthropoda; Arachnida; Pseudoscorpiones; Chernetidae
Description: tRNA-Phe
Source: RNAcentral
UUCCGAAACCCAAAAUCGAACCAGGGACCUUUAUUUCUUCAGUCUAACGCUCUCCCAACUGAGCUAUUUCGGC